This is a long non-coding RNA of Scatophagus argus, 4097 nucleotides long. RefSeq lists it as uncharacterized. The record is from RefSeq and is a predicted model, not a curated record. NCBI's taxonomy places the organism in Eukaryota, Metazoa, Chordata, Actinopteri, Scatophagidae. The transcript has 5 exons.
UAAAGACCCCUGCAGGCGGAGGAAGAAUCUGCAGUCGUCAGCGGUGGGAGUGAAUGUGGACUCUCGCACUCGUAGGAAAGGACAGAAGGUGAAUCUGCUUGUGUGUUGUAACAUGUGUUAUGAUGUAAACGUGAGCUCCGGCUUCAGGCAGCACCGUCAGCCCUCUCAUGAGCUACUGAUGCCACCUGAAGGCGGUGAGAACAGGCUUCUCUCUGGUCCUGUCUACAGUGUCGUCUACGAUUAGUACGAGAGUCAGGUUUGACUGGGAUAGAAGAAAAAUGAAAAGGAGUUUUGUGAGUUUAAUUUAAAAUAAAAAAAAAAACUCACACAGAAAACCUCCAGUGUUUUAUAAGAUUAGUGUGGUCAUACUGUGAAUAUUUCUUGCCACGAUGUUGCAGUGCUUUCUGACUUCCCUUCCCUGUCUGUGCAGCAACAACUUUGUUCAGAAAGCAGAUUCACUCGCUGCCUGGAUUGAUGUUCAGAGAAAAUGAGCCAUAAAAGCUCUUUGGUUGAGGUGAAGGUUUGUUUCAGUGGUCAAAAGUUUCAGAGAACAAAUGAUGUAAGCAGUCAGUGGAUGUUUUCCCUGUAUGCACCCCAGAGAGCGAAGCCUGUGCUUUGGUGUUCACUCCGCUCCAGUGAUGCAGCUUCAGCUUUACAGUCGUCCCACCUCGUCUCGUUAGUCCAUUGUGUCGGUCCGUGUAACUCUGAGCCUAACAGAAGACAAUCAGAGCCUCCUACAGCAGAUCAAAGCUUCUGUUUCCGUGGAGAAACGCCAAACAAAGACAGAUGUGUGGACUGCGGCGUGGAGGCUGAGCGUUGGGAGCAAUAAUGAGCGCAGACAGCCCACCUAAAGGCACGAUGCACCUCACUUCCCUGUCUUUUAACUUAUGCAAAGAGUGAGGGACACUGCAGCUAAUUUAGUGCUUUCACAAGAGCAGGACUGACCACACACACACACACACACACCAGUUCUGCUGAACAUCUGCUGACAUCUGGUGGACAAGAGAGGGACAAACCGAACCAGCAAGAGCUCAAAAUGCAUCUUCAUUCAGCAGCAAUAAAUGUCCUGCAACGUCUGCUGCAAUAAGAUCCUGCAUUCAAAAUCACAUUAAAGUACACAUUCAGGUAUACAAAACAUACUAAAGGUAUAAGUACUCCUUAAAUAGAAUGGUCCAUUUCUGAAUGUAUUAUUGGAUUAUAAUUAGUGAUACAUUCAUGUGUUUUAAAUCAAGAAUCAAUCAAGAAUCAAGGAGUUUCAAUUGUAAGAUUAAAUACCUUAAUCCAUAAUGAUAUACUGAGAUGUUUUAGCUGGUUUUUAUUUUGUAUUGAUUAUCUGAAAAAAAAAAUAUAUUUGUAUGUCCCUUUUCAUGUUUUAAAAAUUGCAAAGGAAAUAAAAGGGAAGGAGAAAAGGAGCAGCCAGGUGUCAACAGGUAGGAGAAGCACCGACACUACCCCCUUGUGGUCACUAUGUAGAACUGCAGUAAGACGCACCCUUUCAAUUUUUAAAUUUGUUUGUUUUUUUGUCCCACGUGUCAUCAGUUCGUUCCUAAAUCAAGUUUGUACAAUACCUUUCUAGUUCCGUAUUGCCAUACUUCACUCCUUAAAGGAACUGUUCACUCCAAAAUGAAAAAGAGACAACUUAUUCUUUUAUCUCUGAGAAGUAGCAGAGUGUAGUAGCACCUGAUAAAAGUAUGGUAAAAUUGUACUUAAGUAGGCCGACAGCACUCAGUAAAUGUACUUCAUUAUAUUCCACUGCUCUUGCUGUAAUGUUUUGUCACCUUGUGCUGAUGGGACUCCACUGCUGGUCAAAUAACUUUAUAAUAAAAAUAAAUUAUUUUUAAAAAAAAAGAAAAAAGAACCUAAAUCUUUCACCAGAAUUUCCUUCAGUUCAUGAUCAGGGUUUGUAUCCCCUUUAGUGAAGACAAAAAAAAAAAAAAGCAUUUGCCACCAUUUUUGUAGUCCUGGAUUUGUUGUAGUCCAAUCUUUCAUUGUACCCAACCCACAGUCCCACAGAUUACCAGCAGGCGGCAUUAUGCUACAACUAAACCAGUUGUCUCUCUGUUGCAGCUGCUGUCACACACUGGUUAUCACGUGUGUGGAUUGUGCUCAGGCUUCGCAUUGCGAAUGUCGUUGUUUCACAAAUUCACUGAUUUUUUUGGUGUGAAUUAAUUUAUUAACUUCACUUUCAAUGACAGCUGUAAUUAAUAGCACUGAGUGCACACCAGUUACACAUUAUAAGUAAAAAGUAAAAGGUGUUUGAGGAUGAUUUUGACAUUAUUUUACCUUCAGGCAUCACAGUUGUCCAUCUCAUCUGAAGGUGCUCAGAGGACCAUGAGGUGAAGUGGUAUUUGAGGCAGUGGGUGUCCUGGGGUCUUGCUGUGAAAUACAUAGUGAUGAGACCAUAUUUUAAUGGUAACUAAUUCAGUUAAUGAGAUCAGUCUGAAGGCCCACAGGAAACGUCCUCUGACCUCAGACGCUCCGCUGUGGGACUUUUUUAACAAAUUGACUGCAGAGUAUAAAAUCCUGCCCGAAUGCCCGCUGAACGGGAUGUUUAACCCCUGCAGGUAAAGAAUGACAUCACAGCCAAUUAAUCCAGCAUUAACAAAGAGUGCUGCUAACGGUCGAGCUUAUGAACAUUUAAUAACGUUACCUUUGAUACUUGUUGAACUUAUUAACUUUUAAUCCCUGACCUCAUCCAUGAUUAAUAAUUCUCUGUCUGAUCCCCUUUCAGCUGAGGCCCCAGUGCUGGCAGAUGGGCAGCCCAACUGCUGCCAACUGCUUUCCAUGCAAUAUUCAAGAUGCUGGCGCAGGAAUCAACAGACAAACACUCCUCAACCCUUCAACACCUCCACAUACACAUGUCCAUCUGAAGAGAGACGAGGUGUUGGCGUCUUUGAAGUGGGGACACCUUCUCGCCAACGACUCGACCACUGAGGCGACCUGUAGGGCUUAAUGAGUGGACGCCCUGAUAUCGUCGCUCCUGAGUGGAUCAGGUCUCUGAAUAAAAGUCAGAUCAGCUUUGUUUAUGUGGCCAAAAUCACACAAGACAAAUUUAACGUGACAUCUGCCUGUUCUGGGUUUCCAUUCUGCUUGUAUCUGCACGUUUCAACACGUUUCGGCUUCUGUGAAAUUGUCCACAGCAUACAGUCGUGCUGUGUUUAUGUUCAUAUCUGUAUUUUACUGUUUCAUCGUUUUUAUUGUUCUUAGAAAAUGAGUUGACAUUGUUAUUCCAAUAUAAUUUACCAUUUACUAUUUAGAACUAUGUAGAAAUUCCUCUUAACCUUAUAUGUAAUGAUUGAAUAAAAACAUGAGGUUUAUGUACAAAUUUGCAUUUUCAUUAAAUCAGACCAAGUUAGAUUUAUUCAUUUAUUAAAGUGGUCAAAAUCAUGAUUUAAUUUAGAUACUCGGACACAGCUUGGUGAAAGUGGCUGUAGAGCUUCGAUGCUUCUGAAUCUUCACCAUAUCUUAUUAAAAUAUCUUCAAAAGGCCUUGCCAAGAUCAGGUCACUGCACUCUGUAAACCCUCUCCUCCUCCUCCUCCUCCUCCUCCUCCUCCUUUUCCUUCUUCUGCCUUUCUUUGACCCCCGCAUGCAUCCACCACAGCCUCCAGCCUCCCGUCUCCGUCCCCUCCUUGUCUUUUGUCUGUCUUUCCCUCCAGAAUUCCUGGCCAGAGGCUCGAGUCUUCUCCCUCUGUGUCGUCGUCCAUCUGUCGGCUGCCGGGCCUCCUCCACGAGCAGAUGUGUGCUCCUUCCUCCUCGACCUGAGCCCUGAGUUUGACCUCGGUACUUUGAGCACUUGUUACCAGGGUGUUUUCUACCAGGCACCGGACGUGUUGAAAAUCUAAACAAUAAAGAAAAUGUGCUUCCUAGUGUCAGCGAAGGUCUGUGGUCAGACAGGCCUAGAAGUCGGCUUUCUCGAAAGUGGAGAAGGGAGACACAUUCAGAUAAAGCAGCCCGAGCAGUUAUGAGCUCUGUAGAGAGGCUGAGGAGCUCGCCCCAGCACCGAGGCCGGAGACGGCUCCGUCCGAGGAGGACCACAGAGAGCUGACACUUGCCCCCCAGACUGCUGGAGCUAAAUUCAAUCCUGGAAACGCUCGCU